This 440-nucleotide ribosomal RNA is filed under the name uncultured bacterium. RNAcentral describes it as "partial 16S ribosomal RNA". It matches the Rfam family "Bacterial small subunit ribosomal RNA", at positions 338 to 795 of the family's 1533-position model. The record is from RNAcentral.
CCUACGGGAGGCAGCAGUGGGGAAUAUUGCACAAUGGGGGGAACCCUGAUGCAGCGACGCCGCGUGAGCGAGGAAGUAUUUCGGUAUGUAAAGCUCUAUCAGCAGGGACGAAAAAAGACGGUACCUGACUAAGAAGCCCCGGCUAACUACGUGCCAGCAGCCGCGGUAAUACGUAGGGGGCAAGCGUUAUCCGGAUUUAUUGGGUUUAAAGGGUGCGUAGGCGGAAUUUCAAGUUAGCGGUAAAAUGUCCGGGCUAAACCCGGGCCGGCCGUUGAAAGUGGUGAUCUUGAGUGGGCGAGAAGUAUGCGGAAUGCGUGGUGUAGCGGUGAAAUGCAUAGAUAUCACGCAGAACUCCGAUUGCGAAGGCAGCAUACCGGCGCCCGACUGACGCUGAGGCACGAAAGCGUGGGGAUCGAACAGGAUUAGAUACCCUGGUAGUC